CUGUUCUUAAGAACAGUUCCUCCUUCAUGGAUCACUGCCUUGUCGUGGCGAAGGGGCUUGCAUAGCUCCAUGAAGGUAUGACCUAUGCUGUGCAGGUCCACCCAAAACGGACAGGACAUAGCAGAGAGCUCUGACAAAACGUGAUCCACUGGAGAAGGAAAUGGCAACCCACUCCAGUAUCUUUGCCAUGAAAACCCCAUGGACAGUACCAAAAGGCAAAAAGAUA
Molecule: long non-coding RNA, 226 nt
Organism: Varanus komodoensis (Komodo dragon)
Lineage: Eukaryota; Metazoa; Chordata; Lepidosauria; Squamata; Varanidae
Exons: 3
Source: RefSeq, a predicted model, not a curated record